This 497-nucleotide ribosomal RNA is filed under the name uncultured bacterium. RNAcentral's name for it is "partial 16S ribosomal RNA". It matches the Rfam family "Bacterial small subunit ribosomal RNA", at positions 28 to 507 of the family's 1533-position model. The record is from RNAcentral.
GAUGAACGCUGGCGGCGUGCCUAAUACAUGCAAGUCGAGCGAACAGAUGAGGAGCUUGCUCCUCUGGCGUUAGCGGCGGACGGGUGAGUAACACGUGGAUAACCUACCUAUAAGACUGGGAUAACUUCGGGAAACCGGAGCUAAUACCGGAUAAUAUAUUGAACCGCAUGGUUCAAUAGUGAACGACGGUUUUGCUGUCACUUAUAGAUGGAUCCGCGCCGCAUUAGCUAGUUGGUACGGUAACGGCUUACCAAGGCAACGAUGCGUAGCCGACCUGAGAGGGUGAUCGGCCACACUGGAAGUGAGACACGGUCCAGACUCCUACGGGAGGCAGCAGUAGGGAAUCUUCCGCAAAGGGCGAAAGCCUGACGGAGCAACGCCGCGUGAGUGAUGAAGGUCUUCGGAUCGUAAAACUCUGUUAUUAGGGAAGAACAAAUGUGUAAGUAACUAUGAACGUCUUGACGGUACCUAAUCAGAAAGCCACGGCUAAAUACGUG